CCCGCCCCUUCGUUUUCGCGCGCGGCGACGGGAGGGUGCGAGGGACAAUCCUCGUUCGGACCGCGAGGUUCUGCAGGGGGCUGCCUGAAGGGGGCGGUCGCAGUCUUAGCGAGAGGUGCCCCUGGCGGUUUACACCUUCGUCUUGAGCUGGGCGCGCCACAGCGCAAAGUGCUUUUACGCCUCAGAGGGGCUAAGCACGUAGAUACCACUAUAAAUAAUAAUAAUUACCGUUCUACGCCGUGAACUGGAUAUUAAAACCUUCAUUUCCUAGAUGAGAAAACUGAAGCACAGAAAGCUUUAAAAACAACUUGCCCCCAAAAACGUUAAAAUACCUUAGGGGCGAAAAAAGUGUUGAGGAGGGAAAAUGAAACGGUAAAUAUUAAGAAAAAACAAAAAGAAAUGUUCAUCCUGAUGAAGCCUGUCUUCCCCUUGCCUGGCUCUUCUAACUUGUAAUGGAGGAAACUCAUUAAAAGAGCUUUAAUACUUUGUGGAUAUUCUCAUUGAUGAUCUUCCCCUCAGAGUUCACUUAGGACCCGACGUGAACGAAACAAAGAUUGGGACAAGCAAAGGAUUACUCUGUGAUAGAUGUUAACUGGAGUCCUCACCCAGUAGAUGGGAUAACUUACUUCUAGAAAGUACUGCCCAGCAAGAGUCAUCUUCAGGAAGAGGGACUUUUGGACUUUAACAGAUGAGUAGAAUUUU
Long non-coding RNA from Felis catus (domestic cat), 702 nucleotides. RefSeq lists it as uncharacterized. Lineage: Eukaryota; Metazoa; Chordata; Mammalia; Carnivora; Felidae. The transcript has 4 exons. The record is from RefSeq and is a predicted model, not a curated record.